This is a long non-coding RNA of Astatotilapia calliptera (eastern happy), 1425 nucleotides long. The record is from Ensembl. NCBI's taxonomy places the organism in Eukaryota, Metazoa, Chordata, Actinopteri, Cichliformes, Cichlidae.
CACCUGUUUAGCUGGAGGUUGGCCCGGUGCCACAGCGGUCAUGUCAGUGGGGGGAUCCGGGGUUUCUCUGUGAAGUUCAUAUUCCCGUGGCAGCGUGCUCGGUGCUUGCUCAGAUUUGAAGUUUAAGCGUGAGUGUACAGUGGACACUAAUGUUUUUGUCUUUUUACGGAAUCAAACUCAAAGUAAUGUCAGUACUUCCAAACUUUGAACGCUCCAUGGUUGAACUCUCUCCUGCACUCCACAUUGUUGAUCUGCACACGUCUGUUGCUGCCGGGGGGCUGGAGCCUGUCCCAGCUGUCUUAGGGCAAGAGGCAGGGUACACAGGUCUCCAGUCCAUCUCUGGUAACCAGUUUAGACCUUUACUAAUUACUGCUGUUCUGUCACUAGCAUCUCAGAGAUAUGGACAUGGACAAGGCCUUGGUGCUUUCAGUAGGUGUCAACCAGUAGCUGUCAUCCAAGCUUUUAGAAACAAAUUGUUACAAAGCAUCUGGAGGAAACGUUGCACCAUCACUGUCUAAAGACUUUUCAGGUCAUUAGCCAAUGAGCACACCCUUCUUUCUGCCUCUAACAAGGACCAUAAUGUACUAAAUUAAGUUUUAUUCAGGAUGACCUGAAGCUAAACAGUGAGCUCAUAAAUCCAUCUGGAAAAUGUUUACAGAGGUCAUAACAUAAGGGAACUGUAUCCUUUUUUUUUUUUUUUUUUUUUUUGCCUGUCCCGUUUGGCUCUUUUGCCAUCAGAAGUAUUGUCUAAAGGCAAAGAAAGAUACCCAACGGAUUUACUUUACCAAAUUGACCAUCCCAGCCUUGCCGUAAUGGUCCAUUUGAUUCACCUUUUAUUGUUUAUUUUAUUUUCACUUGCUGAAUACGGGACAGACUUGACUGGAGGAAAGAAGGGGAGAAAGAAAGAGGGAAAGAGAAACACCUGAGAAGAGGGACGGGGGAGAAGGGCAAAAAACAAAAACCAACAGAAUGGGCAGCAAAAAAAAAAAAAAAGAAAAAAAAAUGCAUAUAUCGAUCACCUGGAUCACCUGUUGAGAAAGAAAAAAGAAAACAAGCAGAAGAGAACAAGAGUAAUAGAAUAAACAACAUCACAAUGAUACAUGGGAAUAUGACAGUAAAUACUAAAUAUUAACCCUUUAAGACCUACCAUAGAACCAAGUCCGCCAGAGCUUAUAUUAUAUUUUUACAUGCUGUGUAGCCAUUUUUGGGAGCAUUUCAAGUUGCUAUACAUCAAUACAACCAUUAUAGCCCAAACUUUAAUAAUAUGUCUGCAUUAGGUGCAUAGUAAUUACAUAAAUUGCAAAAAAGUGCAAUAAACUACAAAAAAAUUGAAAAUCGUUUUUGUUUUUUUAACAUAUAUUUCUAGUUAGAGAAAUUUAAGAGGCUCAUCCCUCAAAACUGUAAAUACAAAAAAGUUGCACAAAC